This 253-nucleotide ribosomal RNA is filed under the name uncultured bacterium. RNAcentral's name for it is "partial 16S ribosomal RNA". It matches the Rfam family "Bacterial small subunit ribosomal RNA", at positions 524 to 776 of the family's 1533-position model. The record is from RNAcentral.
GACGUAGGGCGCGAGCGUUGUCCGGAUUUAUUGGGCGUAAAGAGCUCGUAGGCGGCUUGUCGCGUCGUUCGUGAAAACCUGCAGCUCAACUGCAGGCUUGCGGUCGAUACGGGCAGGCUAGAGUUCGGUAGGGGAGACUGGAAUUCCUGGUGUAGCGGUGAAAUGCGCAGAUAUCAGGAGGAACACCGGUGGCGAAGGCAGCUCUCUGGGACGGUACUGACGCUGAGACGCGAAAGCGUGGGGAGCGAACAGG